This is a long non-coding RNA of Alligator mississippiensis (American alligator), 202 nucleotides long. RefSeq lists it as uncharacterized. Lineage: Eukaryota; Metazoa; Chordata; Crocodylia; Alligatoridae. The record is from RefSeq and is a predicted model, not a curated record. The transcript is spliced from 2 exons.
CGCCGCCGCCGCCGCCUUACUCAAUGAAGAAAACGCGGCCGUCCCUGCACACGCCGUAGGACCAGUGCUCAGGAAGAUCACACACCAACUGCAGCUGCUUCCUCAGCCUGAUGAAGAGUAUUUUUACCCAAAAACUUGUUACAAAGAAUUUUUCCAACUACUUGAGUUGGUCUAAUAAAAGAUAUCAGAUUUACCCAAAGAA